UACGUAGGGUGCGAGCGUUGUCCGGAAUUAUUGGGCGUAAAGCGCUCGCAGGUGGUCCGUCGCGUCGUGCGUGAAAGACCCCGGCUCAACUGGGGAGGGUCGUGCGAUACGGGCGGACUGGAGGCCAGUAGGGGGAUGCGGAAUUCCGGGUGUAGUGGUGGAAUGCGUAGAGAUCCGGAGGAACACCAGCGGCGAAGGCGGCAUCCUGGACUGGUCCUGACACUCAUGAGCGAAAGCGUGGGGAGCGAUCCGG
Molecule: ribosomal RNA, 253 nt
Filed under: uncultured bacterium
Lineage: Bacteria
Description: partial 16S ribosomal RNA
Rfam family: Bacterial small subunit ribosomal RNA
Source: RNAcentral